This 253-nucleotide ribosomal RNA is filed under the name uncultured bacterium. Its description in RNAcentral is "partial 16S ribosomal RNA". It matches the Rfam family "Bacterial small subunit ribosomal RNA", at positions 524 to 776 of the family's 1533-position model. The record is from RNAcentral.
UACGAAGGGGGCUAGCGUUGUUCGGAUUCACUGGGCGUAAAGGGUGCGUAGGUGGUCAGGUAAGUCUGAUGUGAAAGCUCUGGGCUCAACCCAGAAAUGGCAUUGGAUACUAUCUGGCUAGAGGAAUGGAGGGGGGACUGGAAUACUUGGUGUAGCAGUGAAAUGCGUAGAUAUCAAGUGGAACACCAGUGGCGAAGGCGAGUCCCUGGACAUUUCCUGACACUGAGGCACGAAAGCUAGGGGAGCAAACAGG